GACGAACCGUGCAAGCGUUGUUCGGAAUCACUGGGCUUAAAGGGCGCGUAGGCGGGCCAGCCAGUCUGUGGUGAAAGCCUCCAGCUUAACUGGAGAAGUGCCGUGGAUACUGCUGGCCUCGAGGAGGGUAGGGGCAUCUGGAACGGUCGGUGGAGCGGUGAAAUGCGUUGAUAUCGACCGGAACUCCGGUGGCGAAGGCGAGGUGCUGGGCCCUUUCUGACGCUGAUGCGCGAAAGCCAGGGGAGCAAACGGG
Molecule: ribosomal RNA, 253 nt
Filed under: uncultured bacterium
Lineage: Bacteria
Description: partial 16S ribosomal RNA
Rfam family: Bacterial small subunit ribosomal RNA
Source: RNAcentral